AGAACGCUGGCGGCAUGCUUAACACAUGCAAGUCGAACGAAUAGUAGCAAUACUAUUAGUGGCAAACGGGUGAGUAAUACGUAGGAAUCUCCCCUAUAGUAUGGAACAACAGUUGGAAACGACUGCUAAUACCAUAUACGCUCUUCGGAGGAAAGAUUUAUCGCUAUAGGAUGAGCCUGCGCUAAAUUAGAUUGUUGGUAGGGUAAUGGCCUACCAAGUCGAUGAUUUAUAGCUGGUCUGAGAGGACGAUCAGCCACACUGGAACUGAGAAACGGUCCAGACUCCUACGGGAGGCAGCAGUGAGGAAUAUUGGACAAUGGGCGCAAGCCUGAUCCAGCAAUGUCGCGUGAAUGAUGAAGGCCUUAGGGUUGUAAAAUUCUUUCGGUGGGGAAGAAAUUGACGGUACCCACAGAAGAAGCUCCGGCUAACUCC
RNAcentral lists this ribosomal RNA (432 nucleotides) under uncultured bacterium. RNAcentral describes it as "bacterial SSU rRNA". It matches the Rfam family "Bacterial small subunit ribosomal RNA", at positions 31 to 504 of the family's 1533-position model. The record is from RNAcentral.